UAGCCCAUCACCGAAGCCUGUGGUUGUUUGACCUCUAGGCAAUGUGGUGUUUAGGUUGGUUCCUGGCAUAACUGCUCUGCCCCAAGUCCAGCAAUGAGUACGGCUUACCGUUCUGGCCCAUAGAGGGUGAAAGGCCCGUGGGGGUAGAGAUCAAGCAUGACAGUUUUGCUCAGUGCUAACCU
RNAcentral lists this ribosomal RNA (182 nucleotides) under Heterobilharzia americana. RNAcentral describes it as "28S rRNA". Lineage: Eukaryota; Metazoa; Platyhelminthes; Trematoda; Strigeidida; Schistosomatidae. The record is from RNAcentral.